AGAGUUUGAUCCUGGCUCAGGAUGAACGCUGACAGAAUGCUUAACACAUGCAAGUCUACUUGAAUUCUCUUCGGAGAUAGUAAGGUGGCGGACGGGUGAGUAACACGUAAAGAACUUGCCCUGCAGUCUGGGACAACUAUUGGAAACGAUAGCUAAUACCGGAUAUUAUGCGAGAGCCGCAUGGCUCUUUCAUGAAAGCUAUAUGCGCUGCAGGAGAGCUUUGCGUCCCAUUAGUUAGUUGGUGAGGUAACGGCUCACCAAGACCGCGAUGGGUAGCCGGCCUGAGAGGGUGGACGGCCACAAGGGGACUGAGACACGGCCCUUACUCCUACGGGAGGCAGCAGUGGGGAAUAUUGGACAAUGGACCAAAAGUCUGAUCCAGCAAUUCUGUGUGCACGAUGACGGUCUUAGGAUUGUAAAGUGCUUUCAAUCGGGAAAAAGAAAGUGAUGGUACCGAUAGAAGAAGCGACGGCUAAAUACGUGCCAGCAGCCGCGGUAAUACGUAUGUCGCAAGCGUUAUCCGGAUUUAUUGGGCGUAAAGCGCGUCUAGGCGGUCUGGUAAGUCUGAUGUGGAAAUGCGGGGCUCAACUCCGUAUUGCGUUGGAAACUGCCAGACUAGAGUACUGGAGAGGUGGGCGGAACUACAAGUGUAGAGGUGAAAUUCGUAGAUAUUUGUAGGAAUGCCGAUAGAGAAGUCAGCUCACUGGACAGAUACUGACGCUGAAGCGCGAAAGUGCGGGUAUCGAACAGGAUUAGAUACCCUGGUAGUCCGCACGGUAAACGAUGGGUGCCCGCUGUUGGUCGGAAUAGGUCAGCGGCCAAGCGAAAGCAUUAAGCAUCCCACCUGGGGAGUACGCCGGCAACGGUGAAACUCAAAGGAAUUGACGGGGGCCCGCACAAGCGGAGGAACAUGUGGUUUAAUUCGAUGAUACGCGAGGAACCUUACCCGGGCUUGAAUUGCAGAGGAAGGAUUUGGAGACAAUGACGCCCUUCGGGGCCUCUGUGAAGGUGCUGCAUGGUUGUCGUCAGCUCGUGCCGUGAGGUGUCGGCUUAAGUGCCAUAACGAGCGCAACCCUUGUUGUCAGUUACUAACAGGUUCUGCUGAGGACUCUGACAAGACUGCCAUCGUAAGAUGUGAGGAAGGUGGGGAUGACGUCAAAUCAGCACGGCCCUUACGUCCGGGGCCACACACGUGUUACAAUGGGCGGUACAGAGGGCAGCCACCUGGUGACAGGGCGCCAAUCCUCAAAGCCGUUCUCAGUUCGGACUGGAGUCUGCAACCCGACUCCACGAAGCUGGAUUCGCUAGUAACCGCGCAUCAGCCAUGGCGCGGUGAAUACGUUCCCGGGCCUUGCACACACCGCCGGUCA
This 1370-nucleotide ribosomal RNA is filed under the name uncultured bacterium. Its description in RNAcentral is "partial 16S ribosomal RNA". It matches the Rfam family "Bacterial small subunit ribosomal RNA". The record is from RNAcentral.